AAUGGGUCAGCGACUUAUAUUCUGUAGCAAGGUUAACCGUAUAGGGGAGCCGCAGGGAAACCGAGUCUUAAUUGGGCGUUAAGUUGCAGGGUAUAGACCCGAAACCCGGUGAUCUAGCCAUGGGCAGGUUGAAGGUUGGGUAACACUAACUGGAGGACCGAACCGACUAAUGUUGAAAAAUUAGCGGAUGACCUGUGGCUGGGGGUGAAAGGCCAAUCAAACCGGGAGAUAGCUGGUUCUCCCCGAAAGCUAUUUAGGUAGCGCCUCGUGAAUUCAUCUCCGGGGGUAGAGCACUGUUUCGGCUAGGGGGCCAUCCCGGCUUACCAACCCGAUGCAAACUGCGAAUACCGGAGAAUGUUAUCACGGGAGACACACGGCGGGUGCUAACGUCCGUCGUGAAGAGGGAAACAACCCAGACCGCCAGCUAAGGUCCCAAAGUCAUGGUUAAGUGGGAAACGAUGUGGGAAGGCCCAGACAGCCAGGAUGUUGGCUUAGAAGCAGCCAUCAUUUAAAGAAAGCGUAAUAGCUCACUGGUCGAGUCGGCCUGCGCGGAAGAUGUAACGGGGCUAAACCAU
Molecule: ribosomal RNA, 575 nt
Filed under: Salmonella enterica
Lineage: Bacteria; Pseudomonadati; Pseudomonadota; Gammaproteobacteria; Enterobacterales; Enterobacteriaceae
Also listed under: 2 other names
Description: partial 23S ribosomal RNA
Rfam family: Bacterial large subunit ribosomal RNA
Source: RNAcentral